AACGAACGCUGGCGGCAGGCUUAACACAUGCAAGUCGAGCGAGACCUUCGGGUCUAGUGGCAGACGGGUGAGGAACACGUGGGAACAUCCCUUUCAGUUCGGAAUAACGUUGGGAAACUAACGCUAAUACCGGAUACGUCCUUCGGGAGAAAGAUUUAUCGCUGAAAGAUUGGCCCGCGUCUGAUUAGCUAGUUGGUGAGGUAAUGGCUCACCAAGGCUACGAUCAGUAGCUGAUCUGAGAGGAUGAUCAGCCACAUUGGGACUGAGACACGGCCCAAACUCCUACGGGAGGCAGCAGUGGGGAAUAUUGGACAAUGGGCGCAAGCCUGAUCCAGCCAUGCCGCGUGAGUGAUGAAGGCCUUCGGGUUGUAAAGCUCUUUUGUCCGGGAAGAUAAUGACUGUACCGGAAGAAUAAGCCCCGGUAAACUUCGUGCCAGCAGCCGCCGUAA
Molecule: ribosomal RNA, 449 nt
Filed under: uncultured bacterium
Lineage: Bacteria
Description: partial 16S ribosomal RNA
Rfam family: Bacterial small subunit ribosomal RNA
Source: RNAcentral